UACGAAGGGGGCUAGCGUUGCUCGGAAUCACUGGGCGUAAAGCGCACGUAGGCGGCUUUUUAAGUCAGGGGUGAAAUCCUGGAGCUCAACUCCAGAACUGCCUUUGAUACUGAGGAUCUUGAGUUCGGGAGAGGUGAGUGGAACUGCGAGUGUAGAGGUGAAAUUCGUAGAUAUUCGCAAGAACACCAGUGGCGAAGGCGGCUCACUGGCCCGAUACUGACGCUGAGGCACGAAAAGCGUGGGGAGCAAACAGG
This 254-nucleotide ribosomal RNA is filed under the name uncultured bacterium. RNAcentral describes it as "partial 16S ribosomal RNA". It matches the Rfam family "Bacterial small subunit ribosomal RNA", at positions 524 to 776 of the family's 1533-position model. The record is from RNAcentral.